UCCACGCCGUAAACGAUGUCUACUAGCCGUUGGGGGACUUGAUCCCUUAGUGGCGCAGCUAACGCAAUAAGUAGACCGCCUGGGGAGUACGGUCGCAAGAUUAAAACUCAAAUGAAUUGACGGGGGCCCGCACAAGCGGUGGAGCAUGUGGUUUAAUUCGAUGCAACGCGAAGAACCUUACCAGGUCUUGACAUCCUGAGAAUCUUGUAGAGAUACGAGAGUGCCUUCGGGAA
Molecule: ribosomal RNA, 233 nt
Filed under: uncultured bacterium
Lineage: Bacteria
Description: partial 16S ribosomal RNA
Rfam family: Bacterial small subunit ribosomal RNA
Source: RNAcentral